This 1292-nucleotide long non-coding RNA is filed under the name Equus caballus (horse). RNAcentral's name for it is "lncRNA (ENSECAG00000045244.1)". Lineage: Eukaryota; Metazoa; Chordata; Mammalia; Perissodactyla; Equidae. The record is from RNAcentral.
CCCAAGUCAAACCUGUAGAUAACUGGAGACCCGGCUGAUACCUUGACCGUAACCUCAUGAGAAACCCCAAGCCAGAACCACUCAGCUGAGCCACUCUUGAAUUCCUGAGCUGCAGAAGCCGGGUGAUAAUAAAGGCUUAUUGCUGUUUCACAUUAUUGGCUUUGGGUAACGUGUGAAGCAGCGAUGGGCAUCCGACGUGAUGAGGCAUCUCCAGGUGCGGGGAAGAAAGCUGAAACUUUGGGGUCAGAGAGACUCGUGUUGCAAUCCAACCCUCCAACUCCUGCUUGUUGGGCUGAAGCCAUGUUCUUUACCUCCUGGAGCUCCCAUUUUCUAUCUGUAACAUGAGAUGAUGCCUGCAGAACCCCAAGAUACAGCACCACACCACCCUUCUCAGUUUCCUUGCCUUCUCACUCUUCAUAGCCAAUUGAGACAUGCCGUUCUCAGAGCAGAGAAGCUAAAAAAGGUUACGUUGUCAAGAGGCACUGAAGAGUAUGGCAAUCCUGUGACUCAGCAUCGCUACCUUGAUUUUUCAGCUGAUCAAACUAAGGCUCAGAAAGGCGAGUCUGAAUCGCUCAAAGUUCCUUUGGUUGCAAGCAACAGAAACGAACUGAAUCUCACUUCACCUAAAGAGAGAAAGUCGUCGUAAGAUGCAGCGGUCAUUUGGGGAACCCAAGCUCACGUGUGAGCACUGGGCAGCGUCCCAGAAAUGACAAGAACCAGGAGAGGGAGGCAGCAGAGGGCUCGGGGAGUGUUGCUUCUCCUUCUCUCCCCUUGUCUCGACUUGGCUGCUGGGCUGCCUCUGUCUUUUUUCUCUGAAGACUGACUUUCUCAGCUGCUCGGUGCAAAUAGUUGGAGGAAUGGCAGCCUCCCACAGCUUCCAGGUUCACACAUUAUCAUGCCAACCAUAGGAGAGACUGCCCUUCUGCCUCCCUCUCUCUGGAUUGCACAUUAGCACAGCAUGUCCCUUCAGCUCGGAUCUUGGAAUGAAGAAGACACACAGAGCAGAGCUGCAGCCACCCUGCAGUCACCUCCAACAGUGAGAAAUAAACUUUUGAGAACCGACUCGUCUGAGACCCAGUCUUGAGAGCAGGCCAUGCUGUGGCAGGCGUCCCACGUAUAAAGUGGAGCAAGAUGGGCACAGAUGUUAGCUCAGGGCCAGUCUUCCUCAGCAAAAAGAGGAGGAUUGGCAGUAGGUAGCUCAGGGCUGAUCUUCCUCAAAAACAAAAAAACAAAAGAAGGCGGGGAGGAGCAGGGGGCAGUCCCCCGGGGGGAUUCCCAGAUUUCUUUUUUUG